Molecule: long non-coding RNA, 570 nt
Organism: Triticum dicoccoides
Lineage: Eukaryota; Viridiplantae; Streptophyta; Magnoliopsida; Poales; Poaceae
Exons: 3
Source: RefSeq, a predicted model, not a curated record
GUGGGAUUUAUUGUUUUCUACUGUGCUGGAUAGAAAGAUUGACUUAGGUCACAAGUACCGGUCUUACUCGUCUGGGCUCACUAGUAUCGCUUUCCAAUUCCUUCAGAUUCCUUGGUCUCGACCAGUAAACCUCCAAUCCAUCAUGUCCCCUGUGGAGUGGUUUUAGCAAGGAAGAUGGAGAGCCCAUUCUCUCACUCACAAGGGUUGACAUCUCUUUGUCCCUUUCAGAAUCUGAGUUAUUUGAUGUAGAAAUUGUGGCUGAGGAUCGUCUAAUGGAGAUUCCUGAUCCCCAAUUCUUGGGUAUCGAGAAUAACACGAAUCUCAAGUGCCACCAUGGGAGCUGCUGGAGAGGAAGAUAGCUUUCGGCAUGGCUGCGACAGGCAAGAGGAUUUUUGGCAAAUGAGAAGAGAUCUUCAAUGAAAUUAUCAUUCUAUACCAUUCUUAGAUUAGGUUCUCUAAGUGUUGCUGUGACUUUAGCCACUUUUGUCCUUAUGUUUUUUGCAUAAUUCGAUUGCUUUGUGGUUAAUGUGUAAAAACCUUGUAUGAUCGAAUUAUUACUAUCCAUUUCUA